UACAGAGGUCCCGAGCGUUGUUCGGAUUCAUUGGGCGUAAAGGGUGCGUAGGUGGCGUCGUAAGUGGGGUGUGAAAUCCCGGGGCUUAACCCCGGGACUGCAUUCCAUACUGCGGUGCUUGAGGACUGGAGAGGAGACUGGAAUUUACGGUGUAGCAGUGAAAUGCGUAGAGAUCGUAAGGAAGACCAGUGGCGAAGGCGGGUCUCUGGACAGUUCCUGACACUGAGGCACGAAGGCCAGGGGAGCAAACGGG
This 253-nucleotide ribosomal RNA is filed under the name uncultured bacterium. Its description in RNAcentral is "partial 16S ribosomal RNA". It matches the Rfam family "Bacterial small subunit ribosomal RNA", at positions 524 to 776 of the family's 1533-position model. The record is from RNAcentral.